GCGCAGCAGGCGCGAAUCCUUCGCAAUGCAGGAAACUGCGACGAGGGAACUCCAAGUGCCUACGCUCAGCGUAGGCUGUUCUCAAGCCUAGAAAGCUUGAGGAGUAAGGGCUGGGUAAGACGGGUGCCAUCUGUGGUAGCAGUCAAUAGAUUCGAUUUGUUACUGCAAGGCAUAAGCCGCCGCGGUAAUACCCGCAGCCCAAGUGGUGGCCGCUUUUAUGGGCCUAAAGCGUCCGUAGCCGGCCCGGUAAAUGCCUGGGGUAAAUCGUGGAGCCCAACUUCACGAAUUCCGGGUAGACUGCCGAGCUCGGGACCGGAAGAGGGAGAGGGUACUUCAGGGGUAGGGGUGAAAAUUUCCUUCCAUUAACGCUUUGUCGCGAAGCGGAAAGGGUUAUCACAAUCCUGUAAUCCCUGGAGGACC
This 420-nucleotide ribosomal RNA is filed under the name uncultured microorganism. RNAcentral describes it as "bacterial SSU rRNA". It matches the Rfam family "Archaeal small subunit ribosomal RNA", at positions 330 to 658 of the family's 1478-position model. The record is from RNAcentral.